UACGUAGGGGGCGAGCGUUGUCCGGAAUGACUGGGCGUAAAGGGUACGUAGGCGGCCGUGUAAGUCAGGUGUGAAAGGCUAGGGCUCAACCCUAGUGAGCACUUGAAACUGCAUGGCUUGAGUCGAGGAGAGGAAAGUGGAAUUCCUGGUGUAGCGGUGAAAUGCGUAGAUAUCAGGAGGAAUACCAGUGGCGAAGGCGACUUUUUGGCCUUAGACUGACGCUGAGGUACGAAAGCGUGGGGAGCAAACAGGAUUAGAUACCCGGGUAGUCCACGCCGUAAACGAUGAGUGCUAGGUGUCGGGACGUAAGUUUCGGUGCCGAAGUUAACACAUUAAGCACUCCGCCUGGGGAGUACGGUCGCAAGACUGAA
This 371-nucleotide ribosomal RNA is filed under the name uncultured bacterium. RNAcentral describes it as "bacterial SSU rRNA". It matches the Rfam family "Bacterial small subunit ribosomal RNA", at positions 524 to 898 of the family's 1533-position model. The record is from RNAcentral.